AUGUUCUUCGACUAUAAAAUAGCAGAGAUUUAUUUUCUUAUCAAUUCUAAUCCCUUUUUGAUGCAUUGCAGGUUUGCUAUCAAACUCUCAAAAAGAAAAAACAACUUUACUCUGUUUUUUGGAGAACCUUCCUGUAGAGUACAUCGACAGAGACAAAUAUGCGAUCAAGGAUAUAUUCGAUGGAUUUUUACGCAAAAUUUGGAGGAUAUUUUUGCAGAUAGUUUGGUGCUCUCAUGGUUAUUUUGUAGUGAUUUUCCUUAUGUUCAUUACUUGGUAACCAUCUAUGGCAGCUCAGCUAUUGUCCAGCUGCUGACCUUGGUGAGUGAUUGA
This 330-nucleotide ribosomal RNA is filed under the name Triticum aestivum (bread wheat). RNAcentral describes it as "partial small subunit ribosomal RNA". The record is from RNAcentral. Lineage: Eukaryota; Viridiplantae; Streptophyta; Magnoliopsida; Poales; Poaceae.